GAUAAAUUUGUUUUGUUUACUUAUAAACCUUUGCAGCUACAAUAUAUUAUUUCUUGAAAAGUAAUGCUCAUCCUCAGCAUGUUGAUAGAAUCAAUAUAUGAAUAUGAGUUGCCAUAUAAAUCAACAUUACCUGCUCUUCUUAUAUCUCACAUAAAUAUAUGAAAUCUUCAUCAUCAAGUAGAGGUUGACACUGAUACAGAAAUGUUUAUGUCAGUAUAUGUGAUACUUCGAAAAUAGAAAGAUUUUAAUUAUAUUGAUCAAAAUAAAUAUUCAGUACCGGUUAGAAUCUUAUUGAAAUCAUAAUUGGAGUAGAAAGUCUUAAUAGCCUCCUUUUCUUGCUCAGUGGAAAUCUUUGAAAUUUUGAAGCAUCAUAGUGGAUAUCAGGGAAACAACCAAAAUAAAUUAUAUGUCAGAGCUUUUGUUUUUUGUCAAUUGACUGAUACUCAUGAAUUCUGGAUAUUUGAUUAUGGUAUCUUAUUAGAGGAUAUAUUUUUUCUUGAUUUUGAAGUUGAAGCUGAGAAGAUCAUUUAAGCACAGAUGAGAACUCCUGAAAUAAGAACAUUGUGUUAAUAGAAAAAAAAUCACUUAAAGAUAUGAAAAUAUGGAGGUAGGUAAAUGGUGCACUAAAAGAUUGACAAAUGAUAGAGAUUUAUAUUUUUAUCAUGAAUAGCU
This 672-nucleotide long non-coding RNA is filed under the name Elaeis guineensis (African oil palm). RNAcentral describes it as "long non-coding RNA (EGUI_LNC028848)". Lineage: Eukaryota; Viridiplantae; Streptophyta; Magnoliopsida; Arecales; Arecaceae. The record is from RNAcentral.